Molecule: long non-coding RNA, 319 nt
Filed under: Arabidopsis lyrata
Lineage: Eukaryota; Viridiplantae; Streptophyta; Magnoliopsida; Brassicales; Brassicaceae
Description: long non-coding RNA (ALYR_LNC000048)
Source: RNAcentral
GCCCAUCUUAUGUUUUCCUCAGUUUCUUCGUCAUCUGUGAGAUCGGUUCGCUCGGCAGAGUUAGCUUCGGCUCGGGUAUGCCCGCCUUGCGGAUUAUCCGGCUCGUCCGUCAGGUCCACUGCGUCUGGCUCGGUGGGAUCAUCUUGAUUCUCGCGUCGGGCAGGAUCGGUUCGGGUUGCGACUCUGGUGUUGUCGGUUGGCGUUGCGAACGUGAGCCUUGUUGGGUUGAUGCCAGGCAAGUCCCUCUGGGCUCGUAGCGGCCGAGUCUGGAAACGCGUGGUUUUUUGUUGCCCACGGGAUGCAAUUUCGUCGAUUUGCU